UUCAUUCGAGCUGAUAGCACGCGCUUAUAGUUAACAAAAACCGGCAAGUUUUGCAGUGAUAGUGAAUUUUCAAGAUGCAUACGAAUCCAUUCACUCGUACCCACAGCCAAAUCCGUCAAGUUAUCGAUAAUAUCGUUUUUGGAAAAGAAAAAAUGAGCAGAAAUAAUUCCGAAACGUCUGUUUGGUCGAAUUCUUCCAAAGGAUCGACUAGUUCGAAAAGUUUUCUACAUUCAACGGGACAUUCAUGGAAUUUAAAAUCGUUUAGAAGAAAAAACCAAAGAAAUUUCAAAUAAAUCUAUCGAAUUAGUGAGGAAAAUUAAAAAUGGGAAUAAGUGAUAACUAUCCAUUAUUUUUUCUAAAAAAGUUUGGAAAGGUUUUAUUAGACAAAAUGGAAUAUUGAUCAAGAAUCUGGUUUAGUCCAAAUCUUUCGUCGCUUUUUUGUAUAAGGAAAAAGCAUAGUGACCUAAAGAUGGAGAAGGACAGUGUAUUUUUGAUUCAAGAUACCUUUAAAAAGCAACAUAAUUUGUUGUAUAUUCAUUAGUUAAUAAUAAAAUUAUUAUUUUAA
Diorhabda carinulata is the source of this 565-nucleotide long non-coding RNA. RefSeq lists it as uncharacterized. The transcript is spliced from 2 exons. The record is from RefSeq and is a predicted model, not a curated record. Lineage: Eukaryota; Metazoa; Arthropoda; Insecta; Coleoptera; Chrysomelidae.